UGCCUCUCAGGGUCGUACCUGGAGAGUUUCCAGGACUCUACCAGCCUUGGCUAUGGGAGGGAGAGUCAAGCAAAGACCUACCCAUUCCAUUCCUAGCUUAGCCAGUGGCUUGUGAGUGGAAGGCAAUCUGCUACAAGU
Small nucleolar RNA from Tachyglossus aculeatus (Australian echidna), 138 nucleotides. The record is from RefSeq and is a predicted model, not a curated record. NCBI's taxonomy places the organism in Eukaryota, Metazoa, Chordata, Mammalia, Monotremata, Tachyglossidae.